GCCGGAGUGGCGAAACGGCAGACGCAGGGGACUUAAAAUCCUCCGCCCUCGGGGCGUGCGGGUUCGAAUCCCGCCUCCGGCA
Molecule: transfer RNA, 82 nt
Filed under: Holophagales bacterium
Lineage: Bacteria; Pseudomonadati; Acidobacteriota; Holophagae; Holophagales
Description: tRNA-Leu
Rfam family: tRNA
About the family: Transfer RNA (tRNA) molecules are approximately 80 nucleotides in length. Their secondary structure includes four short double-helical elements and three loops (D, anti-codon, and T loops). Further hydrogen bonds mediate the characteristic L-shaped molecular structure. tRNAs have two regions of fundamental functional importance: the anti-codon, which is responsible for specific mRNA codon recognition, and the 3' end, to which the tRNAs corresponding amino acid is attached (by aminoacyl-tRNA synthetases). tRNAs cope with the degeneracy of the genetic code in two manners: having more than one tRNA (with a specific anti-codon) for a particular amino acid; and 'wobble' base-pairing, i.e. permitting non-standard base-pairing at the 3rd anti-codon position.
Source: RNAcentral